RNAcentral lists this long non-coding RNA (746 nucleotides) under Rattus norvegicus (Norway rat). Its description in RNAcentral is "long non-coding RNA NONRATT009995". The record is from RNAcentral. Lineage: Eukaryota; Metazoa; Chordata; Mammalia; Rodentia; Muridae.
UACAAUGCACUGCAGCAGGAGCCGGGGCGGAGGGCCAGCGAGUCCCUGAGUGCCAGCCAGCGUGAGGACCUCCAGGCCGCUGUAGAGAAGGUGCGCAGACAGCUCCUGCGUCAAAGCCGGGAGUUCGACAGUCAGAUCCUGCGGGAGCGGAUGGAGCUGCUACAGCAGGCCCAGCAGAAAAUCCGGGAGAUGGAAGGCAAGCUGGAGCUGCAGAGGCGUCAGCUGAAGGAGCUAGAGGAAAAGUUUUUGUUCCUUUUUUUGUUUUUCUCACUAGCAUUCAUUCUGUGGCCUUGAAGACUCCCAUGCGCCGAGAACUCGGGCUAGACAACGAAUUUCUGGAAUCACCCGAGUCCCCGUGGUGCCCCAUCCUCACUCAAACCAAAAUCCAACAGUGCAACAAAGCUAUUCAAAAUCCGGAGCCUGAACACAGAACUUAUGCACAAUUGACAGUCACUUGAAGGGGAGGCCUGGGGACCUGGCCAGCCUCUGCUGUGGAAUUCUGCAGGACAAUGGCAAGCCUCCCCAGUAUCCCCACUGUGACGUCUCCAAGAGCCAAGGGCAAAGGUGGAUCUGGAUGGCAGAAAUUUAAGUGCAAUUAGUGGAAACCCAGGACAUGGGAGCUGCUGCCUUGGGGAAUAGGCACAGGCCCUGUGUCCAUGCUGUGUGUCUCCCUGAAGGCAUUACAUGUGCCUAGAUGGACUCAGACAGCCCCUCUGCCCUGUGUACAUAAAUCUCCAUGGACUGAG